Molecule: small nucleolar RNA, 129 nt
Filed under: Castor canadensis (American beaver)
Lineage: Eukaryota; Metazoa; Chordata; Mammalia; Rodentia; Castoridae
Description: Small nucleolar RNA SNORA51 (ENSCCNG00000007262.1)
Rfam family: Small nucleolar RNA SNORA51
About the family: ACA51 is a member of the H/ACA class of snoRNA that guide the sites of modification of uridines to pseudouridines.
Source: Rfam by way of RNAcentral
AGCCUCCUAGAGCUUACCACAGGCUGUGUUUUUUUCACUGACUGUAUAGAAAGAGGUGGCAAAGCAAACCUACCCCAUACACUCCUCAGCCCAGGCCCUCUGGUCUGUAUUGUGAAUGGGAAGACAUGG